UUUUUUUUUUAAGCAGUAGAUAGUAUGUUAUAUGUUUCGUUUAUUUUAUUUAAAAAUAGAUUUAACUAAAAAUAUGAAUCAACUAGAAUUCGAAUUUGAGAUAUCGGAUAUUAACCAUCAAAUAUUUGCCACUUGCGCUAGGGACAGUUACAUGUUUAUUUUGAUCGAACUUGAGGUUAAAAUUAUUGAUUUUGUAAUCAAAAUUCGCUGGUGUUAGGACGGAAUUAGAGAGCUCGACUUUU
This 242-nucleotide long non-coding RNA is filed under the name Ananas comosus (pineapple). Its description in RNAcentral is "long non-coding RNA (ACOM_LNC018778)". The record is from RNAcentral. Lineage: Eukaryota; Viridiplantae; Streptophyta; Magnoliopsida; Poales; Bromeliaceae.